Nicotiana tabacum (common tobacco) is the source of this 1511-nucleotide non-coding RNA. NCBI's taxonomy places the organism in Eukaryota, Viridiplantae, Streptophyta, Magnoliopsida, Solanales, Solanaceae. The record is from RefSeq and is a predicted model, not a curated record.
AAAAAAAACUUCAGCACCUAAGGCCUUAGAGACCAAAAAAGGACCCCUCGUCUCAUCUUCUUCAACCUAGCAGCCAGAACCCUAGAGACCCUUCUUCUUUAUGUUCCUGAGACAAGAACACUAGAGAACCCUAGAGAAAUAAAUGGAGUCAUUUCCCCGAGCUCAUCCAUCAGCUGCUCGAACAAGCAGCGUCGAUCUCACAACCAACGACCCCGUUCUUUCUCUGAACUCACGAAAAGAACACACACAGCAGUCGCUGCAGCUUCUUCACUUCACACCACCAAACGUCAGCAACUCUCAACUGCCCAAACUUUAUCUUCUUUAAACCCAUCAGCUACACACACACACAUGCACAUAAGGGAAUAAAUGGACAUAGAGAGAGACUGAACAGAGUGAGGGAAUAGACAUGGCAGCAUUGACACUCGUUUGUCAAAAUCUGUCCAAAGCUCCGUCUGGUGGUUCCGUCGAGUUUAAUAUAGGGGAUUCAGUUGGACUAGAGAUUGAGCAGCUUGAAAUGUUCUCCUUGUUGAAUUGAGUGCUUUUGUUACAUAAACUAUUGUCCAGUUGGUUAGAAUCUGCUGAUAGAAGUUGAAGGUUUGCUGGGCAAUAAUUUGCGGGUAGUUUCCUGUUGCUGUAAAGGAUUUCGUGCUUGCUGCCCGUAGUCCUGUAUUGUUCAGCUUCUGCUCAACAGUGAAGAUUUCUGCAUUUCUUUUGUGGAUUGAUGUUACUCAGUUUUUCUGAACAGUUGAGGGAAUUUUGCACAAGUUUUAGCUUCAGUUAACACAAAUGCAUUGCUUCAGUUUAUAUUCCAACAAUACUCUACUGAAAUUCAAGUUGAGCAGUCUUUUGAAAGCAAAUUCUGCAUUGUCAGCUGCACAUUGUCUGCACUUUGUGGUUAUUCUGGUUGAAGUUGUUGUCUAUCUGUGUGCCACCUACUGAGUUUGAUCACUGCGAGAAGGGGGAUGCAUUAUAUGCAAUGGAGCUCGCACUUUGUUUAGAGAAGUUGGCGAAUCAAAGGCUUCUAAACUUGCACGUUGUAACCUCACGAAGCAACGAUGUGCAUUUGGAUGAUUUUCUUGAAAGUGAGUUCUUGGUUGAACAGGUGGACGCUAUCAAGAAGAUCUCAGAAUAUGUUGCUUAGCUGAAAAGAGUUGGCCAAGGACAUGGCGUCUGGCAGUUCGAUCAGAUGCUGCUGAAUGAGGGAGCUACCGCUUGAAGGAGAAGAUAGAAUUACAAUUUGCAUUUCUAUUUUGCCAUUGUGGAGGAUAUUUUCUUUAGUAUAUUUUGAUAUGAGAAAGAGCUAUGACAUUCUAGGGCCUCUUAGUAGUAGAAAGUAUGAGUGGUAGGAAAGUCGGUGUAAGACUAACUUAAUAGAUCUAGCCAACUGUGCUAUAGCCUACUAGUUGUCAAGUACUUUUGAAGUUUAAUUAGUUCUAUCUAGGGUAUCAUGCUUUCUCUUGUAGCUUGAACAUGAAGUGCACCCAGAAAGCACUCUAUCAAAUUUUAGUGAA